RNAcentral lists this ribosomal RNA (787 nucleotides) under Cortinicara gibbosa. RNAcentral's name for it is "partial 16S ribosomal RNA". The stretch from base 1 to 582 matches the Rfam family "Bacterial large subunit ribosomal RNA", at positions 1832 to 2925 of the family's 2925-position model. Lineage: Eukaryota; Metazoa; Arthropoda; Insecta; Coleoptera; Latridiidae. The record is from RNAcentral.
UUUGAACAUAAUUUAAGGUCUAACCUGCCCACUGAUUAAUUGAAUGGCCGCGGUAUUUUGACCGUGCAAAGGUAGCAUAAUCAUUAGUUUUCUAAUUGAAAGCUGGAAUGAAUGGUUGAAUAAGAAAAUAACUGUCUCAAGUUAAAUUUUUUAGAAAUUUAUUUUUAAGUUAAAAAGCUUAAAUUUAAUUUAAAGACGAGAAGACCCUAUAGAGUUUAAUUUUUUUUCUUAUUUUAAUUUUAAGAUUUAAUACUUUUAAUUAGAAAAAAUUUUUAAUUGGGGUGAUUAGAAAAUUUAAUUAACUUUUCUUUAUUAUUACAUUAAUUUAUGAAUUUAUGAUCCUUUUAUUAAGAUUAAAAGAUAAAAUUACCUUAGGGAUAACAGCGUAAUUUUUUUUAAGAGUUCUUAUCGAAAAAAAAGAUUGCGACCUCGAUGUUGGAUUAAAAUAAAUAUUUGGCGAAGAAGUUAAAUUAUUAGGUCUGUUCGACCUUUAAAAUUUUACAUGAUCUGAGUUUAGACCGGUGUGAGCCAGGUCGGUUUCUAUCUUGAAUAAAAAUAAAUAUUAUAGUACGAAAGGACCUAAUAUUUAAUUUAUAAUUUAAAUUUUGAAUAUUAUUGUUAUUUUGGCAGAUUAGUGCAAUAGAUUUAGAAUCUUUAUAUGUAAUUUAAAUUACAAAUAACACUUGAUUUUAAAAGAUAUAUUAUUAUUAUUUGUUUCUAUAUUAAUUUUAUUAAUUUGUGUUUUAAUUGGUGUAGCCUUUUUAACUUUAUUAGAACGUAAGGUUUU